CCUACGGGAGGCAGCAGUGAGGAAUAUUGGUCAAUGGGCGAGAGCCUGAACCAGCCAAGUCGCGUGAGGGAGUACUGCCCUAUGGGUUGUAAACCUCUUUUGUCGGGGAGCAAAAGCCGGACGUGUCCGGCUGUGAGAGUACCCGAAGAAAAAGCAUAGGCUAACUCCGUGCCAGCAGCCGCGGUAAUCCGGAGGAUGCGAGCUUUAUCCGGAUUUAUUGGGGUUAAAGGGGGCGCAGGCGGAUUUUUAAGUCAGCGGUCAAAUCGUGGGGCUAAACCCCAUCCAGCCGUUGAAACUGGGGAUCUAGAGUGUGCGAGAGGUAUGCGGAAUGCGUGGUGUAGCGGUGAAAUGCAUAGAUAUCACGCAGAACCCCGAUUGCGAAGGCAGCAUACCGGUGCACAACUGACGCUCAGGCACGAAAGCGUGGGUAUCGAACAGGAUUAGAUACCCCAGUAGUC
This 458-nucleotide ribosomal RNA is filed under the name uncultured bacterium. Its description in RNAcentral is "partial 16S ribosomal RNA". It matches the Rfam family "Bacterial small subunit ribosomal RNA", at positions 338 to 795 of the family's 1533-position model. The record is from RNAcentral.